RNAcentral lists this ribosomal RNA (557 nucleotides) under Chloroharpax modesta. RNAcentral describes it as "partial 16S ribosomal RNA". It matches the Rfam family "Bacterial large subunit ribosomal RNA", at positions 1796 to 2622 of the family's 2925-position model. The record is from RNAcentral. Lineage: Eukaryota; Metazoa; Arthropoda; Insecta; Mantodea; Hymenopodidae.
UCGCCUGUUUAUCAAAAACAUGGUUUCUUGGAAUUGUAUUAGAAAUCUAACCUGCCCACUGAAUAUUAAUUUAAAGGGCCGCGGUAUUUUGACUGUGCGAAGGUAGCAUAAUCAUUAGUCUUUUAAUUGAAGGCUUGUAUGAAUGGUUGGAUGAGGUGAAUACUGUUUUAUUUUUAUUAAAUUGAAUUUAAAUUUUAAGUAAAAAGGCUUAAAUUUUAUUAAGGGACGAGAAGACCCUAUAGAGUUUAAUAAAUUUAUUAAUUAGUUAAGUUAUUAAGUAAUUUUUGAUUAUUAUGAAGUUUAUUUGAUUGGGGUGAUUAAAAGAUAAGUAAAACUCUUUUUAAAUAUUAAUAUUGUAAUUAGUUUUAUGAUCCAUAAGUAAUGAUUAAAAGAUUAAAUUACCUUAGGGAUAACAGCAUAAUUUUUUUUGAGAGUUCAUAUUGAAAAAGAAGAUUAUGACCUCGAUGUUGGAUUAAGAUUAGUUUUGGGUGCAGAUGUUUAUAAACUAGGUCUGUUCGACCUUUAAAAUCUUACAUGAUCUGAGUUCAAACCGGAGA